This 663-nucleotide long non-coding RNA is filed under the name Volvox carteri. Its description in RNAcentral is "long non-coding RNA (VCAR_LNC000678)". The record is from RNAcentral. Lineage: Eukaryota; Viridiplantae; Chlorophyta; Chlorophyceae; Chlamydomonadales; Volvocaceae.
CCGUACUCACCUUCUUGCCGUGCAGCUCUUGGACGUGUCCAACAACAAACUUCAGGUGUGUGUUGGUGUGUAGGAGUGUUGGUGUGUAGGGGUGUUGGUGUGUAGGGGUGUUGGUGUGUAGGAGUGUUGGUGUGUAGGGGUGUUGGUGUGUAGGAGUGUUGGUGUGUAGGGGUGUUGGUGUGUAGAGGUGUUGGUGUGUAGGGGUGUUGGUGUGUAGGAGUGUUGGUGUGUAGGGGUGUUGGUGUGUAGGAGUGUUGGUGUGUAGGGGUGUUGGUUGUAGGAGUGUUGGUGUGUAGGGGUGUUGGUGUGUAGGGGUGUUGGUGUGUAGGGGUGUUGGUGUGCAGGAGUGUUGGUGUGUAGGAGUGUUGGUGUGUAGAGGUGUUGGUGUGUAGGGGUGUUGGUGUGUAGAGGUGUUGGUGUGUAGGAGUGUUGGUGUGUAGGGGUGCGUGUUCAGCCCCAUAGGCGCUGUGGCUGAUGCCUCCAGGGAGGUCCAAAUCCCCGUUCACUCCCCAUUGUGACACGUUACUCUGCCGCACACUCCAAUUCCCUACGUCACCUUGGUCGCACGAUCAUGUACGGAUCAUGUACGGUCUUUGAAUACCCAGACCCCCCCUGGCUGACCCCGUACAUACACGUUGUUCCUCGCCUGCUCCUCCCCUCCCC